Molecule: non-coding RNA, 451 nt
Organism: Oryza sativa Japonica Group (Japanese rice)
Lineage: Eukaryota; Viridiplantae; Streptophyta; Magnoliopsida; Poales; Poaceae
Source: RefSeq, a predicted model, not a curated record
CCGGCUUGGCGUGGUCUGCACUCCGCAUACUCGUCGGCUUGGUGUAGUUUAAUGGUCAGUACCAAAUGUGGAACUCCCUUGCUGCUGGCAACUACUGUUUGCUAUGGUGAAGAAGUGAAGAAUUGAAGAUCGAAACUUUUUUCACCAUACAGCUGCAUUAAGGUAGUUUUAUUUGAAGUUCUGAAAUAACCAGAUGACUGAAGUAAUGAAGCACCUUCAACAUGAUAGUAGUCUGGCAUUUGCAUGUGAUUGUAGUUAGUGGGAAUCUCUGAACGACCCUGAAUCUGUAUAAGGCAAAUAAUAAUCAGUAGCACUAAUAAGAGUCUCUUUUGCCAAGUGUGUGUAUAUCUUGAAUCUACUGACCUGCAUCAUGGUGUAUGGCAGUGAUGGUGUUACCACCUCUGCUUGUACUGGACACUUUGAUGUGUUUGAAUCACUCUUUUUCUUUUUA